This 497-nucleotide ribosomal RNA is filed under the name uncultured bacterium. RNAcentral's name for it is "partial 16S ribosomal RNA". It matches the Rfam family "Bacterial small subunit ribosomal RNA", at positions 28 to 507 of the family's 1533-position model. The record is from RNAcentral.
GAUGAACGCUGGCGGCGUGCCUAAUACAUGCAAGUCGAGCGAACGGACGAGAAGCUUGCUUCUCUGAUGUUAGCGGCGGACGGGUGAGUAACACGUGGAUAACCUACCUAUAAGACUGGGAUAACUUCGGGAAACCGGAGCUAAUACCGGAUAAUAUUUUGAACCGCAUGGUUCAAAAGUGAAAGACGGUCUUGCUGUCACUUAUAGAUGGAUCCGCGCUGCAUUAGCUAGUUGGUAAGGUAACGGCUUACCAAGGCAACGAUGCAUAGCCGACCUGAGAGGCUGAUCGGCCACACUGGAACUGAGACACGGUCCAGACUCCUACGGGAGGCAGCAGUAGGGAAUCUUCCGCAAAGGGCGAAAGCCUGACGGAGCAACGCCGCGUGAGUGAUGAAGGUCUUCGGAUCGUAAAACUCUGUUAUUAGGGAAGAACAUAUGUGUAAGUAACUGUGCACAUCUUGACGGUACCUAAUCAGAAAGCCACGGCUAACUACGUG